GUGGGAUCUGAGGGGCGGCAGGGACAGACCGCGUGGGGCUUUGAAGUCAUAGUAAGGAUUCUGGACUGUGUGGCGGGAACCACGGAAUCCAGGAGCCCGUUUGGAACUGCUGCAGCUCAGACUGUUAAUGUCUCCUCCCCACCUGGUGCUCGGUGACUUCACACAGGGCAAAUGUUCGUGGUUGCCCUUCAGCGUUUCAGGGAGAACUGCAUGAAACCACGCAGUCUUUGGGCAUCAGCACAAAGGGCUGUGGUGUAGAGACGGCAUUUGGGCUGAGGAUUAAAGGAUAAACUAGACAAGACAGAAGAGGGAGAAAAUGCCUUGGAGUAAUGUCCAAAGUCAGCGGUGGAGUUUAGUGUUUAUGCCACUUUGGGGCCCUUUUUAAGGAAAAUCAAUACAACACUAUCAAUACGGAAGAACAAAAGUAAAUAAGAAUGAAAAAACCCACAACAAAUUACACAUUAAAAAAAAAAUCUGAGAAAUACCACAAAUAUCCUAAAAUUGUGA
RNAcentral lists this long non-coding RNA (507 nucleotides) under Vulpes vulpes (red fox). RNAcentral describes it as "lncRNA (ENSVVUG00000013150.1)". The record is from RNAcentral. Lineage: Eukaryota; Metazoa; Chordata; Mammalia; Carnivora; Canidae.